RNAcentral lists this ribosomal RNA (76 nucleotides) under uncultured bacterium. RNAcentral's name for it is "partial 16S ribosomal RNA". The record is from RNAcentral.
UUGGGCGCAGCUGAUGCAGCCAUGCCGCGUGACUGAUGAAGGCCUUCGGGUUGUAAAGCUCUUUUGUCCGGGAAGA